RNAcentral lists this ribosomal RNA (122 nucleotides) under Vibrio breoganii 1C10. RNAcentral describes it as "partial 16S ribosomal RNA". It matches the Rfam family "Bacterial small subunit ribosomal RNA", at positions 1 to 101 of the family's 1533-position model. Lineage: Bacteria; Pseudomonadati; Pseudomonadota; Gammaproteobacteria; Vibrionales; Vibrionaceae. The record is from RNAcentral.
ACUUUAAUUGAAGAGUUUGAUCAUGGCUCAGAUUGAACGCUGGCGGCAGGCUUAACACAUGCAAGUCGAGCGGAAACGACAAUAUUGACCCUUCGGGUGAUUUAUUGGGCGUCGAGCGGCGG